GAUGAACGCUGGCGGCGUGCCUAAUACAUGCAAGUCGAGCGAACAGAUGAGGAGCUUGCUCCUCUGACGUUAGCGGCGGACGGGUGAGUAACACGUGGAUAACCUACCUUUAAGACUGGGAUAACUUCGGGAAACCGGAGCUAAUACCGGAUAAUAUAUUUAACCGCAUGGUUCAAUAGUGAAAGACGGUUUUGCUGUCACUUAUAGAUGGAUCCGCGCCGCAUUAGCUAGUUGGUAAGGUAACGGCUUACCAAGGCAACGAUGCGUAGCCGACCUGAGAGGGUGAUCGGCCAAACUGGAACUGAGACACGGUCCAGACUCCUACGGGAGGCAGCAGUAGGGAAUCUUCCGCAAGGGGCGAAAGCCUGACGGAGCAAAGCCGCGUGAGUGAUGAAGGUCUUCGGAUCGUAAAAAUCUGUUAUUAGGGAAGAACAAAUGUGUAAGUAACUAUGCACGUCUUGACGGUACCUAAUCAGAAAGCCACGGCUAACUACGUG
Molecule: ribosomal RNA, 497 nt
Filed under: uncultured bacterium
Lineage: Bacteria
Description: partial 16S ribosomal RNA
Rfam family: Bacterial small subunit ribosomal RNA
Source: RNAcentral